This 477-nucleotide ribosomal RNA is filed under the name uncultured anaerobic ammonium-oxidizing bacterium. RNAcentral describes it as "bacterial SSU rRNA". It matches the Rfam family "Bacterial small subunit ribosomal RNA", at positions 365 to 832 of the family's 1533-position model. The record is from RNAcentral.
UUCGCAAUGCCCGAAAGGGUGACGAAGCGACGCCGCGUGUGGGAAGAAGGCCUUCGGGUUGUAAACCACUGUCGGGAGUUAAGAAAUGCAAGGAUAUUAAUAGUGUCUUUGUUUGACUAAGGCUCCGGAGGAAGCCACGGCUAACUCUGUGCCAGCAGCCGCGGUAAUACAGAGGCGGCAAGCGUUGUUCGGAAUUAUUGGGCGUAAAGAGCACGUAGGCGGCUAUGUAAGUCAGUUGUGAAAGCCUUCCGCUCAACGGAAGAACAGCAUCCGAUACUACAUGGCUUGAGUGCGGGAGGGGAGAGUGGAACUUCUGGUGGAGCGGUGAAAUGCGUAGAUAUCAGAAGGAACGCCGGCGGCGAAAGCGGCUCUCUGGCCCAUAACUGACGCUGAGUGUGCGAAAGCUAGGGGAGCAAACGGGAUUAGAUACCCCGGUAGUCCUAGCCGUAAACGAUGGGCACUAAGUAGAGGGGUUUU